GACGUAGGAGGCGAGCGUUAUCCGGAAUUACUGGGCGUAAAGUGGGAGUAGGCGGCCCUUUAAGUCUGGGGUGAAAUCUCUCGGCUUAACCGGGAGGGGUCUCUGGAUACUGGGGGGCUUGAGGACAGCAGAGGGAGGUGGAAUUCCCGGUGUAGUGGUGAAAUGCGUAGAUAUCGGGAGGAACACCAGUGGCGAAGGCGGCCUCCUGGGCUGUUCCUGACGCUGAGCCCCGAAAGCGUGGGGAG
RNAcentral lists this ribosomal RNA (245 nucleotides) under uncultured Thermomarinilinea sp. Its description in RNAcentral is "partial 16S ribosomal RNA". It matches the Rfam family "Bacterial small subunit ribosomal RNA", at positions 524 to 768 of the family's 1533-position model. The record is from RNAcentral. Lineage: Bacteria; Bacillati; Chloroflexota; Anaerolineae; Anaerolineales; Anaerolineaceae.